AAUUUUGGCCAAUGGGGGAAAGCUUGAUCCAGCAAUACCGCGUGCAGGAAGAAGCCCUUCGGGUUGUAAACUGCUUUUGUACGGAAGGAAACGGUCUGGAUUAAUACUCUGGGCUAAUGACGGUACCGUAAGAAUAAGCACCGGCUAAUUACGUGCCAGCAGCCGCGGUAAUACGUAGGGUGCAAGCGUUAUUCGGAAUUAUUGGGGGUAAAGCGUGCGCAGGCGGUUUUGUAAGACAGGCGUGAAAUCCCCGGGUUCACCCUGGGAAUUGCGUUUGUGACUGCAAGGUUAGAGUACGGUAGAGGGGGGUAGAAUUCCGCGUGUAGCAGUGAAAUGGGUAGAUAUGCGGAGGAACACCGAUGGGGAAGGCAGCCCUCUGGACCAGUACUGACGUUCAUGCAGGAAAGCGUGGGGAGCAAACAGGAUUAGAUACCCUGGUAGUCCACCCCUUAAACGAUGUCAACUGGUUGUUGGGAAUUUACUUUCUCAGUAACGAAGCUAACGCGUGAAGUGA
RNAcentral lists this ribosomal RNA (514 nucleotides) under uncultured beta proteobacterium. RNAcentral's name for it is "bacterial SSU rRNA". It matches the Rfam family "Bacterial small subunit ribosomal RNA", at positions 360 to 868 of the family's 1533-position model. Lineage: Bacteria; Pseudomonadati; Pseudomonadota; Betaproteobacteria. The record is from RNAcentral.